GAGUAACGCGUAGGUAAUCUACCCUUAUAUUUGGGAUAACAUUGGGAAACUGGUGCUAAUACCGGAUACCCUCUUUUCUGCCGGGUUAAGAAGGAAAGGUGGCCUCUUCAUGAAAGCUACCGUAUAGGGAUGAGCCUGCGUACCAUUAGCUAGUAGGUGGGGUAAUGGCCCACCUAGGCAACGAUGGUUAGCGGGUCUGAGAGGAUGAUCCGCCACACUGGAACUGGAACACGGACCAG
RNAcentral lists this ribosomal RNA (239 nucleotides) under uncultured bacterium. RNAcentral describes it as "partial 16S ribosomal RNA". It matches the Rfam family "Bacterial small subunit ribosomal RNA", at positions 108 to 334 of the family's 1533-position model. The record is from RNAcentral.